CGACAUUUCUUAUAGGAAAUGGAACUCUUCAUAAGUCUGGCCAUGGAGGCAUGAUAUCCGUAACAUCCCCCAAAGGAGCUAAAGAAGAAAUCCACAAUUUACCAUGAGCAUUUCUCGUCUAAUGAUUGCCAAGCGAUUCCUCCAGGACAUUCCUCAAGAUCAAUUUCUGUUCAUCCACCUUGUCCUGGGAGGGACAUCAAUGGGUUUCCAUGUCCUUUGGCUUCUGGUUGAGUUCACUCAGUGGAGAACCCUGGCAAGAGGCAGGAAAAGGGGAGGAAGGUGAAAACCAUCCAUUUCUUGGAGAAGUGCCACGGUGGGGUUGCAAGUCCCAGGAUCAAGAUUUCGAUGUGUCUCUUUUUCCCGUAAAGUGGCUGAAAUCUGAAGCUGAAUCUGCAAGUGUCAUGGAGUCAUUGAAUCUCACAGUCUCAACUGAUAAAAGUUAUUAAAGGUCGUCUGGUUCAGCCUUCU
This 468-nucleotide long non-coding RNA is filed under the name Pan troglodytes (chimpanzee). Its description in RNAcentral is "lincRNA". The record is from RNAcentral. Lineage: Eukaryota; Metazoa; Chordata; Mammalia; Primates; Hominidae.